GACGUAGGGCGCGAGUGUUGUCCGGAUUUAUUGGGCGUAAAGAGCUCGUAGGCGGCUUGUCGCGUCGACCGUGAAAACUUGGGGCUCAACCCCAAGCCUGCGGUCGAUACGGGCAGGCUCGAGUUCGGUAGGGGAGUGUGGAAUUCCCGGUGUAGCGGUGAAAUGCGCAGAUAUCGGGAGGAACACCAGUAGCGAAGGCGACACUCUGGGCCGGUACUGACGCUGAGACGCGAAAGCGUGGGGAGCAAACAGG
RNAcentral lists this ribosomal RNA (253 nucleotides) under uncultured bacterium. Its description in RNAcentral is "partial 16S ribosomal RNA". It matches the Rfam family "Bacterial small subunit ribosomal RNA", at positions 524 to 776 of the family's 1533-position model. The record is from RNAcentral.